RNAcentral lists this long non-coding RNA (410 nucleotides) under Homo sapiens (human). Its description in RNAcentral is "non-protein coding lnc-EIF3G-1:9". The record is from RNAcentral. Lineage: Eukaryota; Metazoa; Chordata; Mammalia; Primates; Hominidae.
GUUCCCCUCCAGGGAGGAAGUUGUAAUCUCCCGUCUCCUGUUUCUCUACUGGCGCCUGGUUGGCUUCAUGGCCUGGCACCCACCUUCCUACGAGGGAUCUCCCAUCCUUGCCACUCCGAGUCCCCACAGGGCCAUCCCAGUGCGUUGCCUGGCCAGCCCUCUGCCCUUGGCCUGCCUUUCUCCGCUUUUGCUGUAGGCGUCAUCCCAAAAGCCCUUCCAUCGCAGCUGGGGAGCUCCUGCCCCUGGAGCUGACUCCUCCUUCCUACGCUGCCUUUUGCAGACAAAUGUGUCACCAGCGAGCUCCUCAAGGGGAUCCCUCUGGCCACAGGUGACACCAGCCCAGAGCCAGAGCUACUGCCGGGAGGUGAGUGAGGACUGCCACUCGGUGUCCGGGCUGCCUCUCCCUCCAG